GGAAGGAUCAUUCCUAUUAAAAGCAUUUUGCUUUUUUCAACCAGUUGAACGGUUUAAUAUGCUUUUGCAUAUGUAUUCCAUUCUUUUAACCAAGGAACUCUGAAAAAAUAGACUGAUCUUUUGUCAUUUUUAUGACAGACUUAAAAAGAACAACUAUUGGCAACGGAUACCUCGGUUCUCACAACGAUGAAGAACGCAGCGAAACGCGAUAUUUAGUGCGAAUUGCAGAAUUCAGUGAAUCAUCGAAACUUUGAACGCAUGUUGCGCCUUUGGGAUAUUCCUGAAGGCAUGCCUCUUUCAGUGUCGGUUUUUAUACCUAGUCAUUUAUGAUUAGAAAUAUGAGAGUUGGUUUGCAUUCGUAAACCAUCUCUUUAAAUAGAAAGCAGAAUCUGAAUAGAUUUGAAUGGCUUUGCAUCUUUGUUUAAAAGAGUUGGUGAUUCAUUUAUGAAAAGCCUUUGAUUUUAAGCAGUCAGGGAUGUAUGUUGUACUAUUUGUUCGUCAUAGAAUUUGCAAACGGUCAAAGCUUCAUUGCAAUGACAAAACCUAUUUCAAGACCUGAGUGAGGUAAGAUUACCCGCCGAACUUAAGCAUAUUAAUAAGCGGAGGAAAAGAAACUAAAAAGGAUUCCCCUAGUAACGGCGAGUGAAAAGGGAUGAGCCCAUCCUGAAAAUCCAGCAUUCUGUGUUGGAAUUGUGGGAUAUGGAGACAAUAUCAGUAGUAGCGUUGGCUUAAGUGUGUUGGAAUACACCGGCAAAGAGGGUGACACCCCCGUACAGAGCUGACAGACUAUUGCGUACGAUAUGUUUUCCUAGAGUAGGUUUGCUUGAGAGUGCAAACUGAAUUGGGAGGUAAAUUCCUUCUAAGGCUAAAUAUAUGUGAGAGACCGAUAGCGCACAAGUACCGUGAGGGAAAGGUGAAAAGGACUUUGAAAAGAGAGUCAAAAGUACUUGAAAUUGUCAGUAGAUAAGCGAUAGAGACUAGUGCAUAAUUAUGCCAUAUCUCUUGCUUGUAAAGGUAGCCCCGUAGCUCUGUGCUUUACAGUUUUGCGAUGUGAAUUUAUGAGUAAGUUUGUGAGUGUAGUUUGUGUCAGAUAGUAUUUGAUUUGUAGGAAAAGCCCAAGUCUGGGUAGUAUGGCUUGCCAUAUGAUGAGAUUUGGUUGUACUAUGAGUUGGAUAGUAUAUGACGAAAUGGUCUUUAUCGACCCGUCUUGAAACACGGACCAAGGAGUCUAACAUAUAGGCGAGUCAAUGGGUGAUAAACCCUACGGCGUAAUGAAAGUGAAGGAGUCCUUGUGAUUCUGAGGUGUGCGACCUGUAUAUGGUUUCAACACCGCCCGGCAAUUCCAUUAGUGUAUUGUUCGAGGUAGAGCCUACAUGUUAGGACCCGAAAGAUGGUGAACUAUGCCUGAGCAGGGUGAAGCCAGGGGAAACUCUGGUGGAAGCUCGCAGCGAUACUGACGUGCAAAUCGUUCGUCGGACUUGGGUAUAGGGGCGAAAGACUAAUCGAACCGUCUAGUAGCUGGUUCCCUC
This 1529-nucleotide unclassified non-coding RNA is filed under the name uncultured fungus. Its description in RNAcentral is "sequence contains 18S rRNA gene, ITS1, 5.8S rRNA gene, ITS2, 28S rRNA gene". The stretch from base 551 to 1529 matches the Rfam family "Eukaryotic large subunit ribosomal RNA", at positions 1 to 961 of the family's 3401-position model. Lineage: Eukaryota; Fungi. The record is from RNAcentral.